Long non-coding RNA from Hypanus sabinus (Atlantic stingray), 541 nucleotides. RefSeq lists it as uncharacterized. The record is from RefSeq and is a predicted model, not a curated record. NCBI's taxonomy places the organism in Eukaryota, Metazoa, Chordata, Chondrichthyes, Myliobatiformes, Dasyatidae. The transcript has 3 exons.
CCAGCCAGAAAGGUAGACACAGACAUAGUGAGCACAGUCCAGUCACAAGCUUAUCUUUUAAAUUUAGACUUGCAGUUAUUUGGCAGGAAGAGACAUUGAGUUUCACAUGUCGUUCCAAAAUGAAUCUAAGACUCCUGUAUAAAGUCGAUUGGAGGCACUGCUCCUCCCUCAGUCUCCAAGAUGUUGAGGUCACGUUUGCAGCUAAUAAAAGCCUAUCGUUUGCCUCCCGUCUCCGAGAGUUAUUGAUGAUGCAUCAUAAAGCAAGGCUUUUGGAUGAUUAAGUGGGUCUCAUCAUCGCUGCAAGAAUUAUAUUGCAAAACUGGAAAAAAACCCAGAUGUCCCACUGUGAGGGAAUGGACUGAAGAAAUGGUUAAGAUUUCAUCAUAUGAACACAUGUUGGGAAGAAUUAACAGUGAGGGAAAAGUGCAAGACGUGUGGGAUCAAUUUUGGUUGUAUGUUAAUUUAAACUUAAAUUAGAAGUUUAUUUUCUGUUUCUUAGUUUUAUAUGUUUUCCUGUCAUGGGAUGGCUGUGUAAAUAUGC